Molecule: ribosomal RNA, 448 nt
Filed under: uncultured bacterium
Lineage: Bacteria
Description: partial 16S ribosomal RNA
Rfam family: Bacterial small subunit ribosomal RNA
Source: RNAcentral
AACGAACGCUGGCGGCAUGCCUAACACAUGCAAGUCGAACGAGAUCUUCGGGUCUAGUGGCGCACGGGUGCGUAACGCGUGGGAAUCUGCCCUUUGGUUCGGAAUAACAGCUGGAAACGACUGCUAAUACCGGAUGAUGACGAAAGUCCAAAGAUUUAUCGCCAGAGGAUGAGCCCGCGUAGGAUUAGCUAGUUGGUGUGGUAAAGGCGCACCAAGGCGACGAUCCUAGCUGGUCUGAGAGGAUGAUCAGCCACACUGGGGCUGAGACACGGCCCAGACUCCUACGGGAGGCAGCAGUGGGGAAUAUUGGACAAUGGGCGAAAGCCUGAUCCAGCAAUGCCGCGUGAGUGAUGAAGGCCUUAGGGUUGUAAAGCUCUUUUACCCGGGAUGAUAAUGACAGUACCGGGAGAAUAAGCUCCGGCUAACUCCGUGCCAGCCGCCGCAGUAA